Molecule: non-coding RNA, 608 nt
Organism: Falco peregrinus (peregrine falcon)
Lineage: Eukaryota; Metazoa; Chordata; Aves; Falconiformes; Falconidae
Source: the annotation of a RefSeq genome assembly
AUGGGGGAGGUGCUGGGACGCGGCAACAGGGUUGGUACCACCAGCAGCACCAUCACGUUUGGCGCAGCAGUAGGUGGCCGUGUCGUCGUCCCUGAGGCUGCUCAUCUGCAGCGUGACCGUGCUCUGGCCGCUGUCCCUGGAGAUGGUGAAGCGCCCCUUGACCGACGGCGCGUAGCCGGUCCAACCACCACUGUCGGUGAUACUCGUGACCUCGUGGAGUCCGGGGGGGGUCUCCAGACCCCGGGGGGUCCCUGCGCCUCGUCUGCAAGGGCUCCGGCUUCGCCUUCGGCAGCGUCGGCAUGGACUGGGUGCGGCAGGCGCCCGGGAAGGGGCUCGAGUGGGUCGCGGGUAUUUACAGCGAUGGUGGCAGCACCUGGUACGCGCCGUCGGUCAAGGGGCGCUUCACCAUCUCCAGGGACAACGGCCAGAGCACGGUCACGCUGCAGAUGAGCAGCCUCAGGGACGACGACACGGCCACCUACUACUGCGCCAAAAAUGCUGAUGCUGAUGGUGGUUGGGGCACGUUGGCCGCAAAUAAACGAGUUUUGGGGCAAAAACCCGGACCCUUGGGCGAAGCCUGGGGCCGUGGGACACAAGCAGUUAAUUAG